AAAACAAAGAUAAUUGUACAUUUCUGACAUAUGACUAUAUGAGACAAUAAUCUAAAGGUAGUUGUGUCAGGCUUCUCGUCAGAUUCUAAAUGUUGGCUCCUUUGCUCCUUCAAGCCAUGUCGUUUAACAAACAAUACCUUCUGAUGCUUCCCAAAGGUCUCCUCACUGUCCUCACUCCCCACCAUGAAAUUUGGCCCCAGUAUUCUUUUGGCCAGAACAUAUUGAUGCACCCCACUAGUCUUAUAAGAAGU
Molecule: long non-coding RNA, 251 nt
Filed under: Brassica napus (rape)
Lineage: Eukaryota; Viridiplantae; Streptophyta; Magnoliopsida; Brassicales; Brassicaceae
Description: long non-coding RNA (BNAP_LNC008384)
Source: RNAcentral